RNAcentral lists this ribosomal RNA (506 nucleotides) under uncultured bacterium. Its description in RNAcentral is "partial 16S ribosomal RNA". It matches the Rfam family "Bacterial small subunit ribosomal RNA", at positions 29 to 523 of the family's 1533-position model. The record is from RNAcentral.
AGUGAACGCUGGCGGUAGGCCUAACACAUGCAAGUCGAACGGCAGCACAGGAGAGCUUGCUCUCUGGGUGGCGUGUGGCGGACGGGUGAGGAAUACAUCGGAAUCUACUCUGUCGUGGGGGAUAACGUAGGGAAACUUACGCUAAUACCGCAUACGACCUACGGGUGAAAGCAGGGGACCUUCGAGCCUUGCGCGAUUGAAUGAGCCGAUGUCGGAUUAGCUAGUUGGCGGGGUAAAGGCCCGCCAAGGCGACGAUCCGUAGCUGGUCUGAGAGGAUGAUCAGCCACACUGGAACUGAGACACGGUCCAGACUCCUACGGGAGGCAGCAGUGGGGAAUAUUGGACAAUGGGCGCAAGCCUGAUCCAGCCAUACCGCGUGGGUGAAGAAGGCCUUCGGGUUGUAAAGCCCUUUUGUUGGGAAAGAAAUCCAGCUGGCUAAUACCCGGUUGGGAUGACGGUACCCAAAGAAUAAGCACCGGCUAACUUCGUGCCAGCAGCCGCCGUAA